GGUCGUGCAGGCUGGGCCGCAUGUCUGGUGCAUGUGUGGCCCUUUUUGCUUAUGUGUGGGCCUCCAUAUCUCUACAUCGAGAAAGUUAUCUGUCUUCGGGUUUCUUGAGAGUAUAAGGUCACCUUGACUGCUUCACCACAGAACUGGGGAACACUGAUCGAUGUGUGGGCUAAGUAUCAUGUAUGUGCAUUGCAAUGUAUGUGUACCCCACAGUACCCAAAC
RNAcentral lists this long non-coding RNA (222 nucleotides) under Carica papaya (papaya). RNAcentral's name for it is "long non-coding RNA (CPAP_LNC013026)". The record is from RNAcentral. Lineage: Eukaryota; Viridiplantae; Streptophyta; Magnoliopsida; Brassicales; Caricaceae.